AAAAAAACUCAAAAAAAUUCCUUAAUGGAAUGUUUGCAACUGAAAGUUUCAACUAAUCUACACAAAUAAAUAAAAAUAAAAACAUAACAUUAUUAUAUUAUUAAAAAUAUAUAACUUCAACACAUAAAUAAAAAAUAAAAAAAAUUACAAAGAUAAGCACUAACCUAUCACUUCUACAAGCUGCCCCAAAACUCAAACACCA
This 202-nucleotide long non-coding RNA is filed under the name Gossypium raimondii (Peruvian cotton). RNAcentral describes it as "long non-coding RNA (GRAI_LNC010071)". The record is from RNAcentral. Lineage: Eukaryota; Viridiplantae; Streptophyta; Magnoliopsida; Malvales; Malvaceae.